Molecule: ribosomal RNA, 429 nt
Filed under: Chloroflexota bacterium
Lineage: Bacteria; Bacillati; Chloroflexota
Description: Chloroflexi bacterium partial 16S ribosomal RNA
Rfam family: Bacterial small subunit ribosomal RNA
Source: RNAcentral
UGGGGAAUAUUGCACAAUGGGCGCAAGCCUGAUGCAGCCAUGCCGCGUGUAUGAAGAAGGCCUUCGGGUUGUAAAGUACUUUCAGUCGGGAGGAAGGUGGUAAGGUUAAUAACCUUAUCAAUUGACGUUACCGACAGAAGAAGCACCGGCUAACUCCGUGCCAGCAGCCGCGGUAAUACGGAGGGUGCAAGCGUUAAUCGGAAUUACUGGGCGUAAAGCGCACGCAGGCGGUUGAUUGAGUCAGAUGUGAAAUCCCCGGGCUUAACCCGGGAAUUGCAUCUGAUACUGGUCAGCUAGAGUCUUGUAGAGGGGGGUAGAAUUCCAGGUGUAGCGAUGAAAUGCGUAGAGAUCUGGAGGAAUACCGGUGGCGAAGGCGGCCCCCUGGACGAAGACUGACGCUCAGGUGCGAAAGCGUGGGGAGCAAACAGG